Molecule: ribosomal RNA, 255 nt
Filed under: Clostridioides difficile
Lineage: Bacteria; Bacillati; Bacillota; Clostridia; Peptostreptococcales; Peptostreptococcaceae
Description: partial 23S ribosomal RNA
Rfam family: Bacterial large subunit ribosomal RNA
Source: RNAcentral
GUCAGCUAAGGUCCCUAAAUGUAAGUUAAGUGGUAAAGGAUGUGGGAUUGCACAGACAACCAGGAUGGUGGCUUAGAAGCAGCCACUCAUUCAAAGAGUGCGUAAUAGCUCACUGGUCGAGUGAUCCGGCGCCGAAGAUUUCCGGGGCUAAAACUUACUACCGAAGCUACGGCAUCAGUAAUGAUGGGUAGGGGAGCUUCCCAUACGGGUUGAAGCAUGACCGUAAGGACAUGUGGACAGUAUGGGAGUGAGAAU